CCUACGGGGCGCAUCAGUAUGUCAUCUUCCACAAUUUACUCCCUUCUGAUGGAGCAACGCCGCGUGAGUGAAGAAGGGUUUCGGCUCGUAAAGCUCUGUUGGUAGUGAAGAAAGAUAGAGGUAGUAACUGGCCUUUAUUUGACGGUAAUUACUUAGAAAGUCACGGCUAACUACGUGCCAGCAGCCGCGGUAAUACGUAGGUGGCAAGCGUUGUCCGGAUUUAUUGGGCGUAAAGCGAGUGCAGGCGGUUCCAUAAGUCUGAUGUGGAA
RNAcentral lists this ribosomal RNA (269 nucleotides) under uncultured bacterium. RNAcentral describes it as "partial 16S ribosomal RNA". It matches the Rfam family "Bacterial small subunit ribosomal RNA", at positions 338 to 599 of the family's 1533-position model. The record is from RNAcentral.